This 468-nucleotide ribosomal RNA is filed under the name uncultured bacterium. RNAcentral's name for it is "partial 16S ribosomal RNA". It matches the Rfam family "Bacterial small subunit ribosomal RNA", at positions 28 to 507 of the family's 1533-position model. The record is from RNAcentral.
GACGAACGCUGGCGGCGUGCUUAACACAUGCAAGUCGAACGGAAAGGCCCUGCUUUUGUGGGGUGCUCGAGUGGCGAACGGGUGAGUAACACGUGAGUAACCUGCCCUUGACUUUGGGAUAACUUCAGGAAACUGGGGCUAAUACCGGAUAGGAGCUCCUGCUGCAUGGUGGGGGUUGGAAAGUUUCGGCGGUUGGGGAUGGACUCGCGGCUUAUCAGCUUGUUGGUGGGGUAGUGGCUUACCAAGGCUUUGACGGGUAGCCGGCCUGAGAGGGUGACCGGCCACAUUGGGACUGAGAUACGGCCCAGACUCCUACGGGAGACAGCAGUGGGGAAUAUUGCACAAUGGGCGGAAGCCUGAUGCAGCAACGCCGCGUGCGGGAUGACGGCCUUCGGGUUGUAAACCGCUUUCGCCUGUGACGAAGCGUGAGUGACGGUAAUGGGUAAAGAAGCACCAGCUAACUACGUG